GACGAACGCUGGCGGCGUGCUUAACACAUGCAAGUCGAACGGAAAGGCCCUUCGGGGUACUCGAGUGGCGAACGGGUGAGUAACACGUGGGUGAUCUGCCCUGCACUUUGGGAUAAGCCUGGGAAACUGGGUCUAAUACCGAAUAGGACCACGCGCUUCAUGGUGUGUGGUGGAAAGCUUUUGCGGUGUGGGAUGGGCCCGCGGCCUAUCAGCUUGUUGGUGGGGUAAUGGCCUACCAAGGCGACGACGGGUAGCCGGCCUGAGAGGGUGACCGGCCACACUGGGACUGAGAUACGGCCCAGACUCCUACGGGAGGCAGCAGUGGGGAAUAUUGCACAAUGGGCGCAAGCCUGAUGCAGAGACGCCGCGUGAGGGAUGACGGCCUUCGGGUUGUAAACCUCUUUCAAUAGGGACGAAGCGCAAGUGACGUUACCUAUAGAAGAAGCACCGGCCAACUACGUG
Molecule: ribosomal RNA, 462 nt
Filed under: uncultured bacterium
Lineage: Bacteria
Description: partial 16S ribosomal RNA
Rfam family: Bacterial small subunit ribosomal RNA
Source: RNAcentral